AUUCCUACAUAUCUUAUCCACAAACAGACCAUCGUCGUGGUGGAGGGUUUAGAUGCCACAGAUGUCACUUAUGACAUGUUCAAACCUAAGACAGGUCGAAUUGUGCAUGAGGUGGAGCUGGAUGUUGUUUCUAUAGCCUCAGAGAUCAUGUCAAAAGUAAGGCUACCAUGGACCUUAGAUGUACAUCCAACAGAGCCAUGGAUAAUGAUGACUCAAGGAGAUUACCACGUUCAUAUAUGGAACUAUAAGACACGGGCAAGUUACUUAACUCAUAGUUAACAAUGUACUAUGCAUGUAGGAAUGGAUUUUGUGCUGCCAAGAGUUUUAAAACAAAUUCUUGUAUUUUCAAACAUUACACCUGCAUGCAGGGCCGUUCCUGACUUUAUAGAGGCCCGGGGCGAACUUAAAAA
Long non-coding RNA from Hordeum vulgare subsp. vulgare (domesticated barley), 410 nucleotides. RefSeq lists it as uncharacterized. NCBI's taxonomy places the organism in Eukaryota, Viridiplantae, Streptophyta, Magnoliopsida, Poales, Poaceae. The transcript is spliced from 3 exons. The record is from RefSeq and is a predicted model, not a curated record.